RNAcentral lists this ribosomal RNA (253 nucleotides) under uncultured bacterium. RNAcentral describes it as "partial 16S ribosomal RNA". It matches the Rfam family "Bacterial small subunit ribosomal RNA", at positions 524 to 776 of the family's 1533-position model. The record is from RNAcentral.
AACGUAGGAGACAACCGUUAUCCGGAAUUACUGGGCGUAAAGCGCGUGUAGGCGGUUAUGCAAGUCGGAUGUGAAAGCCCACGGCUCAACCGUGGAGGGUCAUUGGAAACUGGGAGACUUGAGUGCAGAAGAGGAGAGUGGAAUUCCACGUGUAGCGGUGAAAUGCGUAGAGAUGUGGAGGAACACCAGUGGCGAAGGCGACUCUCUGGUCUGUAACUGACGCUGAGGAGCGAAAGCGUGGGGAGCAAACAGG